GACGAACGCUGGCGGCAUGCCUAACACAUGCAAGUCGAGCGAGAUCUUCGGGUCUAGUGGCGCACGGGUGCGUAACGCGUGGGAAUCUGCCCUCUGGUUCGGAAUAACAGUUGGAAACGACUGCUAAUACCGGAUGAUCACGAAAGUCCAACGGUGUACCGCCAGAGGAUGAGCCAGCGUAGGAUUAGCGAGUUGGUGUGGUAAGGGCGCACCAAGGCGACGAUCCUUAGCUGGGCUGAGUGGAUGUUCAGCCACACUGGGACUGAGACACGGCCCAGACUCCUACGGGAGGGAGCAGUGGGGAAUAUUGGACAAUGGGCGAAAGCCUGAUCCAGCAAUGCCGCGUGAGUGAUGAAGGCCUUAGGGUUGUAAAGCUCUUUUACCCGGGAUGAUAAUGACAGUACCGGGAGAAUAAGCUCCGGCUAACUCCGUGCCAGCCGCCGCAGUAA
This 449-nucleotide ribosomal RNA is filed under the name uncultured bacterium. RNAcentral describes it as "partial 16S ribosomal RNA". It matches the Rfam family "Bacterial small subunit ribosomal RNA", at positions 28 to 523 of the family's 1533-position model. The record is from RNAcentral.